This 386-nucleotide ribosomal RNA is filed under the name uncultured eukaryote. RNAcentral describes it as "partial 18S ribosomal RNA". It matches the Rfam family "Eukaryotic small subunit ribosomal RNA", at positions 592 to 976 of the family's 1831-position model. The record is from RNAcentral.
CAAUAGCGUAUAUUAAUGUUGUUGCAGUUAAAAAGCUCGUAGUUGGAUUUCUGGUGGAAGCGACCGGUCCGCCCCUCACGGGGUGUGCACUAGCGUCUGUCUUUUGCCAUCCUUGCGAAGAAGCGGGGUGGCAUUAAGUUGUCGCGCCGUCUGACUCGCAUCGUUUACUGUGAAAAAAUUAGAGUGUUUAAAGCAGGCAAUUGCUGUGAAUACAUUAGCAUGGAAUAAUAAGAUAGGACUUUGGUACUAUUUUGUUGGUUUGCAUAUCAAAGUAAUGAUUAACAGGGACAGUUGGGGGUAUUCGUAUUUCGUUGUCAGAGGUGAAAUUCUUGGAUUUAUGAAAGACGAACUACUGCGAAAGCAUUUACCAAGGAUGUUUUCAUUAA